CAGUCCCCGCUCAUCCUGGAUGAGAACCAGGCCAGGGCUCUGCGGCCCUGACUCACUCCCAGAACUGCCAACCCCGGGGACUGAGGGGCGGGGACACGGGUUACUCCACCAGGGUAGGGCCUCUCCCAUCACUGGUUCCAUGGACCAAAUGACCCCAGGCCUGCUGGGGACCAAUGAGGGCCCUUUGUGCUCCAGGCUGUGGGGUCCGGGCGGGAGGCAGAGGUGUGGCGUCCUCGGUGAGGGCAGCGGCCCCCACCUCUGCUCAGCAGAGACCUGAGAACCCCUGGCACCUCGAGCCCUACACGCGAUCUGCUCGCUGAGGAGGGCCAACCACUGGAGCUCUUCUGCAGAGGCACAGAUGAGGCAACGAGAGGGAGAGGGACCGUGUCCCUCCCUCACAGGGCACUGUGUCUAAGGUGCUGCCCCCCCCAGCAGCUGAACCAUACCUGGGGUGAGGCUGGCGAGGGGUCGUAGCCCCCCAACUUCCCACCACCCCCAACCCACACGCAGCCUGCACUCCUAAAGCUGGCUCCUCUCAGAUUCCCUCGGACGCCUCGGCUCCUCUGCCACGCCUGUGGCUGGUUCAGGCUGCUGAAUCUUAUGUCCCAAGAACCAGUGGGACCAAUGCCAGUGGCCUCGCGUGGUGGUCCAUCAAGCUGAAGUAGAACCGGCCGGGGAGCUGCAGCCCUCGACCAGCCCGCCAGUAGCUUCCAACAGGACCCUUCUCUCAGCUGCUCCACGGGCAAGCAGAGGGUCCGGACAGAGGAGAGUUGGCCAAGGUGGACGUCCAAGGCCGGGGUCCUGCCCACGGCUGCUGCUCCUCACCUCUACAGCUGAACAACCGUGCAACCUCUUUUCUACACUAGGUGGGAAAACUACAGAAACCGCUUGCUUUGAAGGGCACGGUUUAUUUUUAAAUAAUUACAUCUUUACACCAAGGUUCAAACAUAGCACAGAGAGGGCCCGGGUGCCCUUCACCGCCUCCCGUGAGAUUUGCAGAUUACAGAUCGUGGGGCGCCACCAAACCAGGAACGGGGGGAGGGAGGACCCCAAAGUGCUUUCUCACAGGUGUGUGCUCCUGUGCCCACCGUGCACUCAAGAGGCAGGACGGGCCCCUCCGAACAAAGCUGUCCCUCAGGUUACCUUCAGAGUCUCUUGAUCACGACAGCACUGACUUUUGAAAGACUGCCAAACUCUUUGAUUUCCCCCAGAAGGCCGAUGGGGGGUGGGGAGGAGGACGGAUUUCCAAUAAACUCAAGAUGCCCUGAUUGAUCCCUGGCCUG
This 1283-nucleotide long non-coding RNA is filed under the name Ursus maritimus (polar bear). RNAcentral describes it as "lncRNA (ENSUMAG00000023242.1)". The record is from RNAcentral. Lineage: Eukaryota; Metazoa; Chordata; Mammalia; Carnivora; Ursidae.